GAUUUCUGGUAUGGUGCGCCUGACCCACAGUCGAAAGGCUCGUGAAGUGUCGGUGUGCGUCUGCCAUCCUUCUAGGAAUCCUAUCUCACUUCACUGGGAGGUAGGUGAACUAGAUCUUUUACUUUGAAAAAAUUAGAGUGUUUAAAGCAGGCUUGCGCCUUGAAUACAUUAGCAUGGAAUAAUAAUUUAGGACUUUUUUCCUAUUUUGUUGGUUUUAAGGGAUUAAGUAAUGAUUGAUAGGGAUAGUUGGGGGUGCUAGUAUUCAUCGGCCAGAGGUGAAAUUCUUGGAUUCGAUGAAGACUAACUUAUGCGAAAGCAUU
This 320-nucleotide ribosomal RNA is filed under the name uncultured Paracercomonas. RNAcentral's name for it is "SSU rRNA". The stretch from base 60 to 320 matches the Rfam family "Eukaryotic small subunit ribosomal RNA", at positions 693 to 955 of the family's 1831-position model. The record is from RNAcentral. Lineage: Eukaryota; Cercozoa; Cercomonadida; Cercomonadidae.